CAAUAGCGUAUAUUAAAGUUGUUACAGUUAGAACGCUCGUAGUCGGAUUUCGGGGCGGGCCGACCGGUCUGCCGAUGGGUAUGCACUGGUCGGCGCGUCCUUCCUUCCGGAGACCGUCCCUACUCUUAACUGAGCGGGGGCGGGAGACGGGACUUUUACUUUGAAAAAAUCAGAGUGUUUCAAGCAGGCAGCUCGCUCUUGCAUGGAUUAGCAUGGGAUAAUGAAAUAGGACUUUGGUGCUAUUUUGUUGGUUUCGAACACCGAAGUAAUGAUGAGAAGGGACAGUCAGGGGCACUCGUAUUCCGCCGAGAGAGGUGAAAUUCUCAGACCAGCGGAAGACGAACCACUGCGAAAGCAUUUGCCAGGGAUGUUUUCACUGA
Molecule: ribosomal RNA, 380 nt
Filed under: uncultured eukaryote
Lineage: Eukaryota
Description: partial 18S ribosomal RNA
Rfam family: Eukaryotic small subunit ribosomal RNA
Source: RNAcentral